AUACGUAGGGUGCAAGCGUUGUUCGGAAUCACUGGGCGUAAAGGGAGCGUAGGCGGGAUCGUAAGUUAGGAGUUUAAUGCAUGGGCUUAACCCAUGACUUGCUUUUAAUACUGCGGUUCUUGAGUAUGGGAGAGGGCGAUGGAAUUCCAGGUGUAGCGGUGGAAUGCGUAGAUAUCUGGAAGAACACCAGUAGCGAAGGCGGUCGCCUGGCCUAAUACUGACGCUGAGGCUCGAAAGCUAGGGGAGCAAACAGGAUUAGAUACCCUGGUAGUCCUAGCCGUAAACGAUGGACACUAGUUGCUGGAGGAGUCAAUCCUUUCAGUGACCAAGCUAACGCGAUAAGUGUCCCGCCUGGGAAGUACGGUCGCAAGACUGAA
This 377-nucleotide ribosomal RNA is filed under the name uncultured bacterium. Its description in RNAcentral is "bacterial SSU rRNA". It matches the Rfam family "Bacterial small subunit ribosomal RNA", at positions 523 to 898 of the family's 1533-position model. The record is from RNAcentral.